Molecule: unclassified non-coding RNA, 253 nt
Filed under: uncultured Chitinophagales bacterium
Lineage: Bacteria; Pseudomonadati; Bacteroidota; Chitinophagia; Chitinophagales
Description: contains 16S-23S intergenic spacer region
Rfam family: Bacterial small subunit ribosomal RNA
Source: RNAcentral
UACGGAGGGUGCAAGCGUUAUCCGGAAUCACUGGGUUUAAAGGGUGCGUAGGCGGCGUCAUAAGUCAGAGGUGAAAUCCUGCAGCUUAACUGUAGAAUUGCCUUUGAUACUGUGGUGCUUGAAUAAGGUUGAGGUAAGCGGAAUGUGGCAUGUAGCGGUGAAAUGCUUAGAUAUGCCAUAGAACACCGAUUGCGAAGGCAGCUUACUGGACCUUUAUUGACGCUGAGGCACGAAAGCGUGGGGAGCGAACAGG